AUACGUAGGGUGCAAGCGUUAAUCGGAAUUACUGGGCGUAAAGCGUGCGCAGGCGGUUUUGUAAGACAGUGGUGAAAUCCCCGGGUUCAACCUGGGAACUGCCAUUGUGACUGCAAGGCUGGAGUGCGGCAGAGGGGGAUGGAAUUCCGCGUGUAGCAGUGAAAUGCGUAGAUAUGCGGAGGAACACCGAUGGCGAAGGCAAUCCCCUGGGCCUGCACUGACGCUCAUGCACGAAAGCGUGGGGAGCAAACAGGAUUAGAUACCCUGGUAGUCCACGCCUUAAACGAUGUCAACUGGUUGUUGGGGAUUUAUUUUCUCAGUAACGAAGCUAACGCGUGAAGUUGACCGCCUGGGGAGUACGGCCGCAAGGUUAAAACUCAAAUGAAUUGACGGGG
RNAcentral lists this ribosomal RNA (395 nucleotides) under uncultured bacterium. RNAcentral's name for it is "partial 16S ribosomal RNA". It matches the Rfam family "Bacterial small subunit ribosomal RNA", at positions 523 to 918 of the family's 1533-position model. The record is from RNAcentral.